RNAcentral lists this unclassified non-coding RNA (203 nucleotides) under Hevea brasiliensis (rubber tree). The record is from RNAcentral. Lineage: Eukaryota; Viridiplantae; Streptophyta; Magnoliopsida; Malpighiales; Euphorbiaceae.
AAAGAAGGUCAUCUUCAUUGCGUGCAAAUGAACAAAAUCUGAAGAGAAUAAGACAGGAAAUAUCCUCAACUUAUCUGGAAUAAACAAAGAUGAUCCAUCAUGUAUCAGGCUUCUGUGCAACGAACAGCUCCGCGUAAAUGGUUUCUAUUAAAGCCAAAGCUUGCAUGUCUUUCUCUCCUUGUCCAUCUCGUGAGACACCAGAU